RNAcentral lists this transfer RNA (69 nucleotides) under Camelus bactrianus (Bactrian camel). It matches the Rfam family "tRNA". From Rfam's summary of the family: Transfer RNA (tRNA) molecules are approximately 80 nucleotides in length. Lineage: Eukaryota; Metazoa; Chordata; Mammalia; Artiodactyla; Camelidae. RNAcentral also lists the same sequence under 2 other names. The record is from Rfam by way of RNAcentral.
GGAGGCGCUCGGUGGUAGAGUGUAUGCUUAGCAUGCAGGAGGUCCUGGGUUCGAUCCCCAGUACCUCCA